CUCUUGGGCGGAGCAGUGGGAGAGGAAUACAGGAUGCCAAUGUCAUGUGGGCUGGAAUAUGGGAAGGCUGGAGAUACUGAAUAGCUGGAAUAAUCGAUUCCCUGGCUAGGAUUCAGAUGAAAGAAGAGGAAAAUGCUGAUUCAAGAGUUAAUGACUGGGGACUUUCCUGGUGGCACAGUGGACAAGAAUCCACCUGCCAAUGCAGGAGACAGUUUUGAUCCCUGGUUCAGGAAGAUUCCAAACAUCACAGAGCAACUAAGCCCUUG
This is a long non-coding RNA of Bubalus bubalis (water buffalo), 266 nucleotides long. RefSeq lists it as uncharacterized. NCBI's taxonomy places the organism in Eukaryota, Metazoa, Chordata, Mammalia, Artiodactyla, Bovidae. The transcript has 3 exons. The record is from RefSeq and is a predicted model, not a curated record.